AUGCAUUCAAAGGUCACAUUGGAUAAUAACAAGAAAAUUGAGAGGUCAAAGAUUUCACUAAAAGUUAAAAUCUUCAUGUGGUUUCUUCGAAGGGGAGUUGUCCCAACCAAAGGCAAUCUAGCCUGUCGCAGUUGGCAAGGAAGCAAGACGUGUAGUUUUUGUUCUCAUGACGAGAGAAUCAAAUACCUCUUUUUUCAAUGCAAGUUUGCGCGUUCUACCUGGUCAGUCAUCCAAAUAGUAUUCAAUUUGUAUCCGCUCAUAAGCGUUGCUAAUAUUUUUGGACACUGUCGGAUGGUAUUUCAAAUAGGUUCAAAAUGUUAA
RNAcentral lists this ribosomal RNA (321 nucleotides) under Triticum aestivum (bread wheat). RNAcentral's name for it is "partial small subunit ribosomal RNA". The record is from RNAcentral. Lineage: Eukaryota; Viridiplantae; Streptophyta; Magnoliopsida; Poales; Poaceae.